RNAcentral lists this unclassified non-coding RNA (90 nucleotides) under Polaribacter dokdonensis DSW-5. RNAcentral describes it as "Flavo-1 RNA". Lineage: Bacteria; Pseudomonadati; Bacteroidota; Flavobacteriia; Flavobacteriales; Flavobacteriaceae. The record is from RNAcentral.
GUUUAGCCUUGAUUGAACAAUUUUGUUUGAGCUCUUUUUAUACUGAAGGCAAUCAGUAUAAAAAAGCGAGUAGUGAAAGCAGGAAAUGGC